Molecule: long non-coding RNA, 323 nt
Filed under: Mustela putorius furo (domestic ferret)
Lineage: Eukaryota; Metazoa; Chordata; Mammalia; Carnivora; Mustelidae
Description: lncRNA (ENSMPUG00000025450.1)
Source: RNAcentral
CACUAACUCAAAUAACAUGCUUAGCACUUUAUACCUGACAAAUAGCAAGAAUUCAAUAAGGGACAUGACCACCAGCAGUUCUGGAGUCACAUCCCAAAGAGCUUUCGCCAUGGUGGGAAGUUGUAUGAAGAGCUUAUGCCUGGCCCCGUCUGGGCGGCCUAUACAGCCCGUGUUACAGGGGUGGGGUAGGUGCAGUGGUUAACAGGUCCUCCAGAACCCCUGGGGAUGGCAGCAAUGAUUCCCAAGAGAAAGACUGAAGCUGUGACAAGAACAAGAGCUGAAGUCAAGGUCAACAGAAGUCCAUCACUCCAACCGGGUCAGCA